Molecule: ribosomal RNA, 801 nt
Filed under: uncultured bacterium
Lineage: Bacteria
Description: bacterial SSU rRNA
Rfam family: Bacterial small subunit ribosomal RNA
Source: RNAcentral
AACUAAUUAGCGGCGGACGGGUGAGUAACGCGUGGGUAACCUACCUUGUACAGAGGGAUAGCCACUGGAAACGGUGAUUAAAACCUCAUAAAGCUGAGGUAUCGCAUGAUACAACAGCCAAAACUCAGGUGGUAUAAGAUGGACCCGCGUCUGAUUAGCUAGUUGGUGAGGUAAAGGCUCACCAAGGCGACGAUCAGUAGCCGACCUGAGAGGGUGAUCGGCCACACUGGAACUGAGACACGGUCCAGACUCCUACGGGAGGCAGCAGUGGGGAAUAUUGCACAAUGGGCGAAAGCCUGAUGCAGCAACGCCGCGUGAGCGAAGAAGGCCUUCGGGUCGUAAAGCUCUGUCCUUAGGGAAGAAGAAUGACGGUACCUAAGGAGGAAGCCCCGGCUAACUACGUGCCAGCAGCCGCGGUAAUACGUAGGGGGCAAGCGUUAUCCGGAAUCACUGGGCGUAAAGGGUGCGUAGGCGGCCAAAUAAGCCAGAGGUGAAAGGCUACGGCUUAACCGUAGUAAGCCUUUGGAACUGUAUGGCUUGAGAGCAGGAGAGGAGAGUGGAAUUCCUAGUGUAGCGGUGAAAUGCGUAGAUAUUAGGAGGAACACCAGUGGCGAAGGCGACUCUCUGGACUGCAACUGACGCUGAUGCACGAAAGCGUGGGGAGCGAACAGGAUUAGAUACCCUGGUAGUCCACGCUGUAAACGAUGAGUGCUAGGUGUCGGGGGUUCACACCCUCGGUGCCGGAGUUAACGCAUUAAGCACUCCGCCUGGGGAGUACGGUCGCAAGACUGAAACUCAAAG